UGCAGCGGAAUUUAUCUGAAAUCCUCCCGUCACCUGUCAAAAAAGGCAAUCUAUUCCAUCAUCGGUUGAUCAAUGCAGAUAUACAUCACGAAUUCAUGAGUCGUUUCUUCAUCGCUGCCAUUCAUGCUUUCCCGUGAUGUAGCAAAACGUUUUCACUUAUCACGAUUGAGCGAGGUGAUUCUUAGCCCUCAUCGAACAAUGGGAUCGGUGACAAUAUGGCUAUUGUACGGGUUAUCUUCCACGCUCUGCAUGACAGGCCACUCGCUGAAGUGUGCUUCAUGCAAGCCUGAUCACGAUCCGGAGAUAGCCGAGACCAAUAAGCUGCUAGUGGAUGGCAAGUACAGCAUCGUAGAGUCGGAGGGCAAGAUGUUUAAGCAAAACUAUUCCACUUGGCCGCUCUGCCAAGAGGUGAACGACAAAACGGACUAUGGAGCAAUCACGCUGGAAUGCCCCACAGAUGGUGAUUGGGUAUGCGGCUUCGCUUGGGCGGCCGCGGAGCAGUACGCCACCAGGGGGUGCGUCCUGAGACAGGAAGGCUUCAACAUGGACAAGUGCGUGCGGAAGAAUGUGCUAGACGAUAUGGGGCAGGUAGAGUGCUCCUUCUUGCUUCAUUACUGCGAGAAGGACCUAUGCAAUAAGCAGUCCAAGAAGCAGCUACGCCUGUGCG
Pollicipes pollicipes is the source of this 667-nucleotide long non-coding RNA. RefSeq lists it as uncharacterized. The record is from RefSeq and is a predicted model, not a curated record. NCBI's taxonomy places the organism in Eukaryota, Metazoa, Arthropoda, Thecostraca, Pollicipedomorpha, Pollicipedidae. The transcript is spliced from 3 exons.